This 301-nucleotide ribosomal RNA is filed under the name uncultured bacterium. Its description in RNAcentral is "partial 16S ribosomal RNA". It matches the Rfam family "Bacterial small subunit ribosomal RNA", at positions 509 to 807 of the family's 1533-position model. The record is from RNAcentral.
CAGUAGCCGCGGUAAUACGAAGGGUGCAAGCGUUAAUCGGAAUUACUGGGCGUAAAGCGUGCGUAGACGGUUUGUUAAGUCUGCUGUGAAAUCCCCGGGCUCAACCUGGGAAUGGCAGUGGAUACUGGCAAGCUAGAGUGUGUCAGAGGAUGGUGGAAUUCCCGGUGUAGCGGUGAAAUGCGUAGAGAUCGGGAGGAACAUCAGUGGCGAAGGCGGCCAUCUGGGACAACACUGACGCUGAGGCACGAAAGCGUGGGGAGCAAACAGGAUUAGAUACCCCCGUAGUCCCUGUCUCUUAUAC